GGUGCUACAAGGGCUUCUCAAUUUUGUACUUUUUCCUUUCAACAUUUUCUCUCCUGGACCCAAGAAACAUCAAAGGACUUUGUAUUCUCCAGUGAAUGAAGGAUAAAAAUUAGACAUGGAGACACUUGGUUUGGCAGAGCAGGGAUCCAAGCUAGAUAAAUUACAUUCCAGAAGUGGGAUUUCAGAUAACAUUCAGCGUGGAGUGCAGGAGUUGAAAUGGUGAGGGUAAACAAGGAGACAAGUUCAAAGAG
Molecule: long non-coding RNA, 251 nt
Filed under: Homo sapiens (human)
Lineage: Eukaryota; Metazoa; Chordata; Mammalia; Primates; Hominidae
Description: HSALNT0091187
Source: RNAcentral